CCCCUCAAUCUGACUGAUUUUGGUCCUUUGUCUGUGAUUGGCUGGCCCAUUACUGGCAGGACUUUUAUGUUGAUAAAUGUAGUUUUUGGACGUGACGUGGGUCUCUUUCCGCCCCGCUGUUGUUUUGCCGGCAAAGGACGCCGGCUGGCGUGUGAGCUGCUGCUAGCCGUGAUCAUUACCCGGUAGAUUUGGUACCUUCAGCCAUUCUUGUGUGGAACUGCACUCUGCUGUGAACUGGCGUUCACUUCGCGCUGCCUAUACUGCACCGGUGUGUUGCCCCAUCAUCUGUGCCCUGUGGCAGGCCUGAUUCGUGGUGCUUACGCUGGCUUGGAGUGGCCACAGUGGUUGGCCCCUGGGUACCUGACUGCAGUCAGUGGAUGGUAAGCUGGCCUAUGCUACGUUGAUGUUGUUGCUCCGAUGGUAACGAUGACCUUAGUCACUAAAUCUACCCUCACUUUCCUCAGUGUGUGGUCCAAAUUGCGAUUGUUCCGAACCACGGAUCUAUGAUCAGGUUAGCGGUGCCUCUCUGACGCUGGGGAUUGCUAGCUACACUCCUCGGAGGUUGCUGUUUUGUUGCCGUCACACUCUGCGCCGGUUCCGACUGGCUCCACCUGCUCGUCCUGCUUUUGUUUGGUUUAAUUAUUUUUAUUUUCUGGUCCGUUUCUUGGGACGCCAGCCUCCUCGCUGCGCACUGCGCAGGUCUAGUUACCUGUGUGUGUUGUGAGU
Long non-coding RNA from Engraulis encrasicolus (European anchovy), 726 nucleotides. RefSeq lists it as uncharacterized. The transcript is spliced from 3 exons. Lineage: Eukaryota; Metazoa; Chordata; Actinopteri; Clupeiformes; Engraulidae. The record is from RefSeq and is a predicted model, not a curated record.